RNAcentral lists this ribosomal RNA (1555 nucleotides) under Escherichia coli. RNAcentral's name for it is "bacterial SSU rRNA". It matches the Rfam family "Bacterial small subunit ribosomal RNA". Lineage: Bacteria; Pseudomonadati; Pseudomonadota; Gammaproteobacteria; Enterobacterales; Enterobacteriaceae. The record is from RNAcentral.
UUAAAUUGAAGAGUUUGAUCAUGGCUCAGAUUGAACGCUGGCGGCAGGCCUAACACAUGCAAGUCGAACGGUAACAGGAAGCAGCUUGCUGCUUUGCUGACGAGUGGCGGACGGGUGAGUAAUGUCUGGGAAACUGCCUGAUGGAGGGGGAUAACUACUGGAAACGGUAGCUAAUACCGCAUAACGUCGCAAGACCAAAGAGGGGGACCUUCGGGCCUCUUGCCAUCGGAUGUGCCCAGAUGGGAUUAGCUAGUAGGUGGGGUAACGGCUCACCUAGGCGACGAUCCCUAGCUGGUCUGAGAGGAUGACCAGCCACACUGGAACUGAGACACGGUCCAGACUCCUACGGGAGGCAGCAGUGGGGAAUAUUGCACAAUGGGCGCAAGCCUGAUGCAGCCAUGCCGCGUGUAUGAAGAAGGCCUUCGGGUUGUAAAGUACUUUCAGCGGGGAGGAAGGGAGUAAAGUUAAUACCUUUGCUCAUUGACGUUACCCGCAGAAGAAGCACCGGCUAACUCCGUGCCAGCAGCCGCGGUAAUACGGAGGGUGCAAGCGUUAAUCGGAAUUACUGGGCGUAAAGCGCACGCAGGCGGUUUGUUAAGUCAGAUGUGAAAUCCCCGGGCUCAACCUGGGAACUGCAUCUGAUACUGGCAAGCUUGAGUCUCGUAGAGGGGGUAGAAUUCCAGGUGUAGCGGUGAAAUGCGUAGAGAUCUGGAGGAAUACCGGUGGCGAAGGCGGCCCCCUGGACGAAGACUGACGCUCAGGUGCGAAAGCGUGGGGAGCAAACAGGAUUAGAUACCCUGGUAGUCCACGCCGUAAACGAUGUCGACUUGGAGGUUGUGCCCUUGAGGCGUGGCUUCCGGAGCUAACGCGUUAAGUCGACCGCCUGGGGAGUACGGCCGCAAGGUUAAAACUCAAAUGAAUUGACGGGGGCCCGCACAAGCGGUGGAGCAUGUGGUUUAAUUCGAUGCAACGCGAAGAACCUUACCUGGUCUUGACAUCCACGGAAGUUUUCAGAGAUGAGAAUGUGCCUUCGGGAGCCGUGAGACAGGUGCUGCAUGGCUGUCGUCAGCUCGUGUUGUGAAAUGUUGGGUUAAGUCCCGCAACGAGCGCAACCCUUAUCCUUUGUUGCCAGCGGUCCGGCCGGGAACUCAAAGGAGACUGCCAGUGAUAAACUGGAGGAAGGUGGGGAUGACGUCAAGUCAUCAUGGCCCUUACGACCAGGGCUACACACGUGCUACAAUGGCGCAUACAAAGAGAAGCGACCUCGCGAGAGCAAGCGGACCUCAUAAAGUGCGUCGUAGUCCGGAUUGGAGUCUGCAACUCGACUCCAUGAAGUCGGAAUCGCUAGUAAUCGUGGAUCAGAAUGCCACGGUGAAUACGUUCCCGGGCCUUGUACACACCGCCCGUCACACCAUGGGAGUGGGUUGCAAAAGAAGUAGGUAGCUUAACCUUCGGGAGGGCGCUUACCACUUUGUGAUUCAUGACUGGGGUGAAGUCGUAACAAGGUAACCGUAGGGGAACCUGCGGUUGGAUCACCUCCUUACCUUAAAGAAGC